CUACGGGUGGCACCAGUGAGGAAUAUUGCACAAUGGGGGGAACCCUGAUGCAGCAACGCCGCGUGGAGGAUGACGCAUUUCGGUGUGUAAACUCCUUUUAUAUGUCAAGAAAAUGACGGUAGCAUAUGAAUAAGCACCGGCUAACUCCGUGCCAGCAGCCGCGGUAAUACGGAGGGUGCAAGCGUUAUUCGGAAUCACUGGGCGUAAAGGACGCGUAGGCGGGUUGGAAAGUCAGGUGUGAAAUCCUACGGCUUAACUGUAGAACUGCACUUGAAACUUGUAAUCUAGAGUAUGGGAGGGGGAGAUGGAAUUAGUGGUGUAGGGGUAAAAUCCGUAGAUAUCACUAGGAAUACCUAAAGCGAAGGCGAUCUCCUGGAACAUUACUGACGCUAAGGCGUGAAAGCGUGGGGAGCAAACAGGAUUAGAUACCCUUGUAGUC
RNAcentral lists this ribosomal RNA (439 nucleotides) under uncultured bacterium. RNAcentral's name for it is "partial 16S ribosomal RNA". It matches the Rfam family "Bacterial small subunit ribosomal RNA", at positions 339 to 795 of the family's 1533-position model. The record is from RNAcentral.